CCUCAUUUCGUUCGCUGAAUAGCUCUAAGAGUGUGAACAACCCCAGAAGGAAAAAGAGUGCUGUUGUUAAAGGUAUCUGGCAUCGUGGACCCAACCAUCACCAGGAGUUUCUCACUUCAUCUCUGCUUUAUUGUAGUAUAAUUUGCAUACAAUAAUGGCACACAUUUAAUGUGCACAGUGUGAUAAAUUUUGACAUAUGUAUACAUCCAUGAAGCCGGCACCACAAUCAAGAUAAUGAACAUCUCGCUUACCGCAGAAGUUUCCUGUGCCCUCUCACUCCUCCGUAUUCCUCCAUCCUCAGGAUUUCAUCAAAUGGUCUGCUGCACUGUGCUGGAAUUUUGAACUCCCCAGAGUAGUAAACAACAUCUUCUCAAGGGUAUACAAAUCAUCAGAUAGAGAAAACACCCAUUAUAGAGCUGUGGAGCCCUUACGAUAUAGUGCUAUGCUGCAACAAAGUAGACAGAAGAGUAUUUGUUGAAUAAUAAAAGAGUCUCACUCUAUUGCCCAGGCUGGAGUGCAGUGGCAUGAUCUCGGUUCACUGCAAGCUCUGUCUCCUGAGUUCAAGCGAUUCUCAUGCCUCAGCCUCCUGAGUGGCUGGGAUUACAGUUUUCCAAUAAUAACAUAGAAAAAAGGAAGAAUUUGAGAGUUUCUCAGAUUAGGCAAUUCCUUGAAGAAUCUGAGAACAUAGAAGCUCCCCUCCCUACUUUCCAUGAUUGAAAUCAGUGAUUCAUUGGUUUCUUUGUGUGGGCUUUUGAAAGAUCAUUAGAAACCAACAUGAGGAUCAUGAGAUUCUUGUGCACACAGGAGCAAUGAAUGGCAAUACAGUGCAUUCUAAUGCAACCUACUUUAAAAGGUAAACAGA
Molecule: long non-coding RNA, 862 nt
Filed under: Pan troglodytes (chimpanzee)
Lineage: Eukaryota; Metazoa; Chordata; Mammalia; Primates; Hominidae
Description: lincRNA
Source: RNAcentral